Long non-coding RNA from Oreochromis niloticus (Nile tilapia), 1913 nucleotides. The record is from Ensembl. Lineage: Eukaryota; Metazoa; Chordata; Actinopteri; Cichliformes; Cichlidae.
CUUCGGUGAAGUCUGCUGUCAAGUUACUGGACACGUGGUAUUUGCACAACACUUCUGAAUCCGCAGCUUCGGUGUUUUAAGGCUGUUUCGAUAUGGAGAAGAAGUGGGAAGAGAUUUACGCGUUUAUUUCUGCGGGCUCCUACCCUUCAGGAUAUGACAAGGCUCAGAGGCAAAACCUCAGAAGAUAUGCCUCAAAAUUCCAACAAAAGGGUCAGUAAUUUAUUGUUAAUACUAACAACUCAUAUAUGUGGUUAAAUUAAUUUAUAAAUAUAUAUUGUUCUACUGCAGAUGGAGAACUCUUUGUUGGAACUAGAAAAGUAGUAAAAACCAUGGAUGAUGCCAGGAAGAUAUUUCAUGAGUUUCAUUCAUCUCCAAUUGGAGGACACACUGGCAUACACAAAACGCUAAGUGCAGUGUGUUCCAGAUUUUACUGGUUUGGUAUGACAGUUGACAUUAAAACAUGGGUAUGUAUUAACUGUUUGCAUUGUUGUUAAAUGCCGUUUAAAAUAAGAAUUUUUUUUUGAUAUCAGUUAAAAGAGAAACUGUACACUUGCAAAAUAUAAAUAAAUAUGAUUAAUUAGUGAUAUUACAGUAAUAACCUGUAGGCCUGGCAGAGAUUUGAAGACACACACAAAGUUUUGUUGCUAAAUUGUUUGUUCGUUAGAGAAUAUAUCAUUAAUGAUGUUUUUUUGGGUUUUUUUAUAAAUGAGAAUGUUGAACAUUUAUGUGAACUCCAUAAAUAUUUUUACCUUAAAGAUUCUGGAAUGUGACCAGUGUCAAAAAGUUGGGAAACCACUGACUGCUGUGCAACCGUUGCAGUGUAUUCAGGUGUCUGAAGUGUGGGAACUUAUUGGUAUAGAUCUUACUGGACCUCUUCCUAAAACGUCAAGCGGCUUCCAGUAUAUACUGACUGCAACUGACUACUUUUCAAAAUGGGUUGAAGCUUUCCCAUUAAAAACGAAAUCUGCAUCUGAGGUAGCCCAGCACUUGUGCUCCAUUAUAUAUAGACAUGGCUGCCCCAAAAGGAUUUUGUCAGACCAAGGCAGAGAGUUUGUGAAUGAAGUAAGUGUUAAAUAAUUUUCAGUUACAUUUUUUAACUUUAAUUUUUUUACUUCACUGGGGUCAAAGAUUUUUUCUUGUGUGCUUGUAUAAGAAGUAUAAGAACCUUGUCCUUAUCUGUUGAAGCUCAACUCUGAUCUUUGCAAGUUAUUGCAAAUUGAAAGAAGUGUCACAGCAGCAUACCAUCCACAGACCAAUGGUCUAGAUGAAAAGACCAAUGACAACAUAAAAAGGUAUGCCUAAUUUUUAUCUAUCAGUUUUUAAUAACAUUACUUAUGUUAUUCAAACUUAAUUGUUACUUAAUAAUUUAUUAUUUCUUUACUUCUAAUUAAACUUUCAUUAGUGUCUUUACAUAUUUCUAUGCCUGCAUUUAGAGCCCUCCGAAAACUGGUGAAUGACCAGCAGAAUAACUGGGAUCUGUAUCUAGAUCCCACCCUGUUUUCACUGUGGUCAAAAGUACACACCACAACAAAAUACUCACCUUUUUUUCUGAUGUAUGGAAGAGAGGCAGUAUUUCCAUCAGAAGUGCCUGCUCAAGUGCCGGUGAGUGUUUGUCAAAUUCUUUCUAUGUUAGAACUAAGAAUUGAAACCAUUUAAGUAAAAAACCCAGUAAUGUCUUUAUGAAUAUGAUAUCAUCUUGUUUUAAUUGCUAAUAUCUACAAAAUUUUAGAUUUCCAACAUCAUUCUGCCAGACGACAAAAGGUACAGUGACUAUGUACAGUCUGAAAGUGAAGCACAACAUGCAGUUAAAGAAACUGCACAAGAAAACAUUGCGAAGUCACAAGACAAGCAAAAGGUUGCAUACGCCAAGCGGGUCCUGAAAAAGUACAAAAAUGUUGUGUACAAUGUAGGGG